AUUCUGGGUUUCGACAAAAACUAAAAUGUUCUUGGGAAAACGGAUGUUUCUUUCAAUAAAUAAAUAAAUAAAUAAACCCCCCAGUUUUCCAGCCAAAACAGUUUUAACAGAACAUUUUCAAACAGCCUUAAUACGCAUUGUAAAUAUUUACAUCUGCUGAGAAAUCAUGAAGUACUUUUUCCUUUUCAAAAGACUUCUGAAAAGUUCACGUGCACUUUUUAAAAGGCCUCCAAAGCAAUGAAUCACUUGACAUCUCUCUCUUUUGUAGGAAAGAGGCGAUUUCCACUGAGGUACCUUAUGCUUAAGUAAACUAAAAAAAGGUGCUGCCAACUAUCUUUGUGGCCACCUGGCAUUGCCACACUGAAAAAAAAGCAAUAAUGGAACCAGAACCUGGCCACUAUAUUCUUUGGUAAAUGUAUUAUUGUACAAAUACAGUGUGCUGCUUUUAAGUGCAUAACUAGGGGACUGAAAAAAGGCUGUGCACUUAUUGGGAACAUGCAGGUACCAAAUUCAAUGUAAACUAUGCUCAUUAAGUACAGGAACAGCCUGCACUAAGCUUUUCAGAACUCAUUAAGGCUCCUUACCUUGUGUCCUGGAGUGUCUUAUACCUCUAAUAGCAGCCUUAAAAUUUAUUUCUACUUAAUUUCACAAAUUAUACCAUUAAACAGAGCACAGCGACCUUACAAAUUAAGUAGUGGGGCCAAAGAGUUGUUAUGCACGUAAGCCAUGUCUGUAUUUAAUACAUAUGCAAAUAGAGUUUGUUACAAUGUAAGCAGUAAACAAAGAAUUGGGACAAGCAUUGUGUUAUGCCAUUAAGUGAAUUGUGCUCUUAUCCAGUGAACGUGCAAGUGCAGUAUAUCAUUAGACAGAGUCAGACUUUUAAUCGCUUUGGAGCCAUUUAGAACAUUUAGUAGUAGAAGGAAAGAGGCAAACAUUUCCGAACAUUUUUUGGCUCAACUAACUCCAGCAUUUGUAGAUACAGCACUUAGACUUUUACUAAUGUAAACAUGUCAGGUCAUUUAAACUGCAAAUUAUUUUUCACUGUUUGUAGUUUUGAAAAACUCUGACAGAAGGGUCUUCAUCACAAAAGCUGGUCUUGCUGUUGAAUCCAUGUACGCCAUGUAACAUAUUUUGAAAGGCUUUGCCUAACCUGACAGAAGGGGAAACAAAACUGGCAUUUACUUCUUUAAUUUCUCACACAGUUCCAUCAGAAAAGUCAUCUGGUGCUGAUGUUUUCCCUGAUGCUAAUCUCCUAAUAGUUUGUUCUCCCCCACUCUCUUACCAGGGUGAUGGUUUGAUCCAGUCUUUCUAUGGAUUUGUGCAAUAAACUAGAAAUGUUUCUAAUCUGCAAAAGAAAUGCCUACGCUGCUUCAGUGCCUUUUACUUUCAGAGGCUGUGUACACUCCCCACUCCAUGUAGGCUGAAGCUGAAGGCACUAGGAUCUGAUCACAGUCUUCAGAGACCCUCUUAAAUGUGAAGCUGGCCUUUACAGGAGGGGAAAGGUAAGUGUAGCCCUUAUGUUUUGGAUAUGGUGCCUUUUUGUUACACUGUCAGCAAUGCUGAGUGCUGUAUAUUUUUUAUUUUCAGCUGACUUACUGUGUCCAUUGAGACUGCUGGACACGGGUCCAUCAAUUUAAAAACAAAAAUUGUAGUAGCAAAAAUAGGCAAAUAUCCAUUACUAAAAGAACACCUCUAACAUCACAGUUAAAACUCUGAGUACCUGCCAUAAGCAAUGCCAGCCCAGCACUUAGAGUUUUUAUAGUCAAUGGUUCGAUAUAAAGUUCCAAAGUUAAAGCCCUGGAAUGCCAACUUCCAGUCUUUUAUAUUCAAAUCUGAGGUCUGUUACCAAAUACAUUCCAGCAAACCUGAGCUAGUGGGAUAGUUCGUAAAGAGAGAAGCCACAAGAAAUCCAAUUUCAAGUGUUCAAAAAUCAUGAGUGGGUGCAUCUACAUGAGAUGCUAACUGGGCAGUAGCUUACUAACACUGCACAGUAGUGUACUGGGCAAAAACCAAACUAAUCCACUACUGUGCAGUAGUAGUAGGCUACCGCACUGGUGCUACUGCGUAGUAGCAUAAGUUACUGAGCCUCGAUUUAGUGCUUGGUUAACCAAGUACUGAACUUAAUGUGCAGUAACUACAACGCAUUAAUGAACAUGUAGAUGUGCCCAGUCAGACACGGUUCCCACCAACGCUCAAGAGAUUUAUCUUAAAAUGGUGACAUUUUAAAAUAUACUGAAUUUAGGGUUAUUUCAUGACCAUAAGCCUUUAGAGCUCAUGUUCUCAAGCUUUUUUCUGCAACUACAGAGGCUUAGACACUUGCUUGUGUUUAAACAAAAGGUACGAUCUGUUAACAAAGGAGCUAUAAUUUGAAGAAAAAAACAAAAUAUCACAUAACUUAAUAAAGUAGCGCAGUUGGGAACUCUGAAUUCUGUCUUCAGCAGCUUGUCUACACAAUUUUUUGUACUGAUUUAACUAAAUAAGUACUCCCUUCUAUUGUGGACCCAUUUUUUACCAGUAAAAAGGUGUUUAUAUGGGCAUACUUGCUUCAGUAAAAUUUCAAAGCAGUGUGCAAGGAUAUAACUGUUAACUACCCUUGGUAUUAAUAUAGCCUUACCUAAUCUGUUCUGUAUUGCAAACUAACCUGAAUGAAAAUUACUUUUUAAAUGUGUCAGCAGGCAGUCUCUGUCACUAGCAAUUGAAAGCCUGCUAGCAGCAGUGAAAAGCAGGAUUGCAAAGUAGCAUGUGCAAUGACAAAUCAAUGAAAUUAACAUAAAUAGAACCUGGGGUUGAAAGUGUUCUAGGUAUGUGUGCUAAUGUAGAAACUGAAGACCUAAUUUUGGAAGCCACUUCCCUAAACUCAAAAGGCACUUGAUAUCUGAUAAUCUAUACAGCCUUUGCAAUGUAACUUGGGGUCUUUGGAUCUCUCCAGAAAUAGUUUGUAAGGGGAUUGUAAAUUGAUCAAAUGUAUAAUCUAGAUAGACUCUAAAAUCAGAGCUGAAAUGCAUUUCUGAGAAAUAGUUUACUGUGACAGCACCUCAGUGUCUGCAACAGCAUCAGAGUUCCUUGUUGAGUUUGGGAUUAUUAUAGACAACUUGUCUUUGAGAGGAGAUUACUAUAUCCUUGUUUUCAAAAUGGAAAAAGGCAUCACUGUUUUUAAUUUGCUGUCCAACUGCAUUGCCACACGCACAAGACACGUACACACACAGUACAAACACAGAGGCUGAAAACUGAAAUCUUACACUGCCAUCCUGUGGUGAAAGGUAAAAAAAUACUACGUUGUCUAACUCAUGGGAAUCGUCUUUAGGAAAUGUUAGCAUUGGACCAGUUUGGAGGCCUGGGGGCAGACUUAUCAAGAGCUCUGUAUUGAAACAAUGAUAAUGAAAAUCAAUUUCCUAUUCUCUGUAAGAUUAGAAUAAGGAAUGUUAUGAAAUGAGGAAGAUUGACUUUGUAUUACUAAGAAGAAAUCCCAGCCAGAGCCUUUCUAUGUCUUUGCUGGAAUCUAAGCCGUGCUAGCUCAAGUGUGGUUUUUACAGAGUUUUAUCCUACAGGCAGGAAAGUUUUUCCAUGAAAAAAAUAACAAAAAACAUUUACAGUUUGAUAAAAACCUUCAUUCCACACUUCAGGAAAACUAUGCUAGAACCUGGAUGUCAACAACCAUCAUGCAAAACACCACAAGUCAUUUGUGAUCUGUGUAUAGGGUGGGAGGUCCUAAGGACAUAUCUUGCCAAUAUAAAUCCAGAGCAACUCAACUGACUUUUGCAAUUACCUCACAUUUUAUACCCGUAUAACUGAGAACAGACUGUAGCCUUCUCAUGUAAUGGAUUCACUUAAUCUUGCCUCUACAGUUGCACAUAAAAUCUGCUAGGGACCUUCCAAAACACCUGCCUCACAGAGAGCACAUUUUUAAAAAAAACAGAGAGAGAAUUGCUAGGGCAUUAUUUUAAUUCUGAGAAGAGCUAAAUUAAUUCAGACAUGGAAUGGUGAUGGGACUGAGACUCAAUAGAAGGCAGUGGGAGCUGACUUUAUUAUUAUUCUGUAAGAUCAGGUCCUAAUGGCAAUUUUUAGGAUAGGAGAUUUUUUUUUUCCGCUAAUGAAAAAAUACAGUAGAGUCUACUUUGUAAAUAUGUCAUAAAUUCCUGUUCACUGGAUAAAUGGAUUGUUUUCCAAUGAAUCACUGCUGGGCUUAAAAAAAAAAAAAGGAACAAGCCAACCAAAAGGGCAUGAAGUCAGCCAAAAGGGGAAAGAGAGAAAAAGAGCUGUCAUGUAAACAGUGUGCAAAAUAUGCAAUAAAAAAGUAAAAUGUUUACCAGAAUGUCUGGUUCAUAAUUGAAUUUUGCCUAGGGACAGCUCUAAUGCGUGCUCUGAUACUUCAGGCCUGAUUUUUAACUAAAGCUUUUAGACCAUAAUUUAAUGGUUCAGAAAAAAGUGUGGAUUUAUCAUAGUGAACAGACUGCCUGAAGAUUUACUUUCUUCUCUUGCAAACUGUGACUUAUAGGCAUUUUUCCAACCAACAUAUGAAUAACAUAUGCAUUUAUUUAUGUACCUUUGACACUGUAUGCCAGGACUGACUUCCCAGUCCCUACCAUGUCUCCUUUAAAAGCACUGGUUCUAUAAAACAUGUAGAAAGCUAGACAUCCCCAGCUGUGCUCUACUGCAGGAGCUAUAGAUAGCUGGCAGAUAGCAAUGGAGAGAAUCCAGAAUAAAGCUACUAAGGAGCAGUAGCAAAACUACUUCAUAUUAUGGCCCCAAGUUAAUAGGAUGGGUCCAGAUUUUUCCCGUGUUCAGGGUAUGAUGCAAAACUCACAUCUUCAAAAAAAGUUCUCCAAAAAAAUGGAAUGCAAGCUAGCAACAUUCAAGUGUGAAACAAAAAUGUAUGGCAAAAACAAGAGAAGGGAAGGGUUUUAAUCCCAUUUUAGACACCUGACUGUGAUUCUGUGUGCAUGCUUCUAACUCCUUAACAAACAAAAGAUGGUUUGAUCACUCUUGUUUUUUCACAGUUUGAUGGCUCAGUUAGGCUGUCACCAUCUGAUUUAAGCCCUGCUUUUCUUCUCUCCGGCGUGCUGUGCAAAUCUCUUCUUUGCUCUGGCUGCGUCAGUUUCCCUCUAGGUUCUGCUUCUCUCGGCGGGCCCAUACAGCCCCUCUUCCCAGUCAGUCUUUGCCAACCAUUCCAUGGGGUAUCCCCUGCUCAGUCCCGGCUCUACGGGCUUGCUGGGACAACCCACACUACCCUGCUGUCCACAGUUACUUAUCAUUCUGGGAGGGCAGAGAUGAUCCUUGCUUGUGGCUCGCCUGGGUCUAGACAACUUACAGGGGUUCAUAUGCCUGGCCUCUCACCUCUGCUGGUCUUCCCAGCUCCCGGUCCCACUGAGCGGACCCUGUUCCAGGAGAUGCCGAAUGCCAUGCUUUUCUUUAGCGUCCUCCUUUAAACUGCCCAGUCUUCCUUCCAGCCCAAUCAGGGCAGGCUUCCUGGGGCAUGUGUUCUUAUGCCCUGAGGGGCCUGCCUGUUUCCUGAGUUUUCUCCAGACCUUUUCUCCAGCACACCAGGGAUGUGCUGCUCUCCCAGACCUGCUGGAUAAGUUUCCUGUAGGUACAGCUGGCUCUGGAGGUAUAGCAGGGGCUUGGCCUUAGCUCCUGCUACAGUGCCUUUUCAUUCCAAGAUGUUUCGUUGCUUGUCUUCAGCUUGACCCAUCAUAUCUGUGCAGAUGAAACAGCACCAUAUUUUUAUCUUUAUGGACCACUUCAAAUUUGACCUUAAAAACUUCCUGUUCAAAGAAAUAAAUGAGUAGGGUCAAAACCCACUUGCCUCUUUCCUUUUUUAAUGCUUUCUUUUGCUUUAAUUACUGUUUCGUGCUGUUUUCUCUUUGUGUUUAAAAAGGAGUAGUUUUGUUUAAUAUUUUUGCAUGUUUGUUUCCAUCUGUAGAGCGCUCUGUGGCAUUCUGGGUGGAAGAGGCUAUCGCCAACUGUAUUUUAUCUGAUUCAGACUUUUCAAGAAAUCCAGUUGUGCCAUCUUGUGGGGAUAGAAAACAGCACAAGUUGCUGGGUCUAGUUACGUUGCUGCCAUCUACCUGUCUUGAACAUGAUUUCAGAAACAAAAAUUUCUUUAUUUCAGAGUCUGGAGAGUUCAGUGGUUUAUGGACAAAUCCCGUUGUUAAGUAACUGAAUCCUUCAUACAAACUUAAUACAAGGUCUAUUUCUUUCUGUAAGGCUACCAACUGACACAGGUUUUGCUGUGGGAUCAGCUCUGCUGGGAUAUGGCCUAGAACAGCUGAUCCAAUUGAUUGGUAGGUACAGGCAUUGCCCAGGGUUGUUGUCUCACAGGAUCAGGCCCCUGCCACUCCUGGGGCUUCAGGGACCCGAUCCCAUAUGUCGUCAAGGGCAGAGUGGGGAAUCUCAUGGGGUUCCCUUGCUCUUCAGUGUGAAAGGCACACACCAAAAUCUUCUGUUCAGAGGGGCUGAAGAGCAUGGGCUGCAGAGAUCAUGCCAUAACUGAACAGACAGCCAUUGCAAUAAGGCAGCACAAGCUAUUGAUAUGAAUUGUUGUGCUCCCAUCUUAGAACAUUUGGGACACAACAAGGAACAGGGGCAUCUAUUUGGUCAUGUUUAUACUACCAUAAACAUUUUUCUGGUGUGACAAGGGCAACAUCUGUCUGCCUAAAGCAUUUCACUUAGGAGAAGUACACAAGAGACAGAAUGCAGAAAGUUCCUGUGUCCCCCUAGUGCUGCUAACAAUGGUGGAAUUAAAGAUGUUUUAUCACAGGGGUGCUCAACCUCUGGCCAGCAGGCCAGAUCCAGCCCCACAGUACCAUGUCAUCUGGCCCAUGGGGCUUUCCAUGGGCCUGGAAAUUUGGCAGUGUGGAAACAGUGGCAUUGCUCCCUUACUACCAAAUCUUCUGACCCAUGUGGAGCCAUAGGCCCUGCGUGCUGGAUUCAGAAUCUGAACCCAGGACACAGAGCUAGGGGGGUGUGAGGCAGCUCUGGGCCCACAGGGCCUAAUCCUGCUGUGGGGAGUUGGGAGGAGGUGCAGCACUGGGUCCUUGGCACGCAACCCCAGUGUGUGGGGGCAGGAGGGGUGGUGCUGGGCCCUUGGACCCAAUCCCAGCAUGUGCGAGGAGGGGAGAUAUACCAGGCCCCCAGGACCCAACCCUGGUGCAUGGGGCAAGGAUGGUGCUGGGCCCCAGAGCCUGAUACUGCCUAUGGACAGGCCUCAUUGUUAUUCAUCUGGCCUGUCAACAGCUUUCUCUCAAACUGUGGUCAACCUACAUAAUGUUGUUACUGGAGCCUGUAUCUUGAGCUGCAUGUGUUCCUUUCUCCCAAGUGAGGGGAGGAGAAGAUGCUGAGUCAAUUUUCUUCUUGCUAUAAAGAAAAAGGUGCUAAGUCAUAUACCCCUCCCACCAGCCCACCCACUAAAGGGAGAGGAAAGACAGUGAGUCAUGCAUUUGAUUUAUGCACUUCAAAGAAAUAUGAAUUUGUAAGGUCUAGCUAGAUCUUAGCAGGUUGAUAUGCACAGCCUGAGGAGGCUAAUGAGAUUGCUUUCUGAGUAAAAACUACUUCCAUGAGGGUUUGCAAGAUCAUGACUUUAAGGACUACACUGGAAAUUAGCUGUAGCUAGUCUUAGGUAGAUGUACCGGAGUCAGUCUCCAGUGUGGAUGCACUACACCUGGUCUGAUGUGACAGACUUAUGUAGCUGGACCAUUGCAAAAAUAAACCAGGGGUAGAGAAGGCCCAUUUGGGACAUUGUAAAUGCUAACAUCUUCUUUUGUUUUCAAGUUUUCAUAAAAGAAAAACAAUGAUCAAGAAGCCAAACUAGUCUGUUAGAAUUCUGCUAGAGAGUUUUGCCAGGGAUGACUCUGGCCCAAGGAAAUUAAAUACAGGAAACUAUGAGAACACAGCAUGAAGACUGCAUUUUAAACACAAAACGUGAGGCAAUGUAAAAGUCACUGACAUAGUACAUAUGUAAUGUCUGAUUAUUAGUUAUGAUGUUAUUAAGAGUUCAUUUAUUUUCCCUUUGAAAGCAGUAACAAAACUCCUGAUGACUUCAGUAUGAGUGGGAUUGGGUCUCAGAUGUACAUUUUGUUAUGUACAAUGCGCCAAAUUAAUUCCAGAGUCUGCACCUGUAAAAGCCAGCACAAACCUUAGCUGAAGAAAGCCUGCCAGUAGCACAGGAGACAUUGAAGGAGUGGAAGGCUUCUUCACCUUGAUCUUCACAGGGUGCUCACAGCCAGUUACCACUGCCUGAAUUUCAGAUGACUGCAAAUGGAUAAAGGCUGAAGUGUGACUUUUGAAGUGCCCUUGAUUGUAAUUAAAGCUGCCUUCCUUUAAUGGAAAUCCCAAGGAAAGGAAUGAGUAAUGUUACCCUAUACUGGUGAUUCUCUGCCAGAAUGCCAUGGGACACUGGGGUGUUGUGAGAGUCUUGAGCAAUAUUAACACUGUUAGAUGUUCAGAUAUCUACACACGAUUCACAAGGUAAACCCAGAGAUUUCAAACAGGAAUCCAUAGUGUCAUUUCUGUUCUGUUGUGGUCUGAGUUCUUUGCAACAGAAUAAUUGCUCUGUUGUUUUCCUAUAGUCAAAAAAACAAGUAAAGGCUAAAAGUUGGCAUUUUCUGAGGGAUGCCUGGAGUUUAAAAAGGUUGAGAACCAUUGCCACAUGCCCUCUCUCAGGGUGACUCAUGCCAGCUGAGAUCAGACUGUCCCAGUGAGUUGGGCCAACACACAAUUGUGCAUAUGAAUGGAGUAAUACUACUAUGAGGACUGUAAUUGUUGAAUGUUCUGUUGGUUUUGUUCAGAUAUUUUAAAUAGCCCAAUAAAUGGUCAGGUGCUAAACCACUGUGAAAUAAUAUAUAAACAACAACAACUACCUCCCUAGAAUUAGUACAGUGAAGACAUGACAGACUUAUACAGUGGCGCUCGCCCCAUCUAGACAGGAAGAGACAGCCACCCUAAGGAAGCAGAAUUUAAGAAAAAACCUGAGCUUAAUUAAAGAUAUAAUACUUCCAGGAUUCUAAGGUGUAUUCAUUUUAUGGGAUGAGGGGUUGAUUAAACAAGUUAAAAACUAUAAAUAGUUUCCUUCUAACAAAUCAAUUACACUUAAUUCCUUUAUUCCUCCUCAAAACUCAACUGUCACUUUCAAAAUGUGUUUCUUCAUAUGGCUGUACCUACCAGCCCAGUUUUUUCAUGCCACAGUUAUACAAAGCUGAUAUCUGGAGCAUAUGCUUUUGUUCAAGCAAUGCAGUUAAAUAUGUGGGUGUGGUUAAAUUCUGAUGUCCUUUUCUAAGGAAAAACUGGGGAAAACAUCUGCUUCUUGAUGCAAACCAUCUGCUAUUACCAGACAUAAAGUCAGGCAUUUUAACACAGUCUACUGCUUAGAAUUACACUUGCUUAACAGAACAGAAUGACAGAUUCCCAUCAAAACGAUCUCAUCUCACACCAGCUCAGGGCUUUUCCCUUGCACCUAUUUGGGAUUGAUCAGUGCAAUUAUUUUGUAAAGGUCUUUGUCAGUGAAUUCAAAAUUACCAGAAACCAUAAUAAUUAUUAUUAUUUAGGAUUCAACUGUUAAUCUCCCAGCUGAGAUGCUGCCUCAGCUCUGCACAGUUACAGGUGCAGAAAAAGUCACAAAUUUAUGUUUUGUUCAGUUGUAUGUCUGUGUGGGGGUGGAAACAAAAGGCUGCUGAGCUUAGCAUUAUUGUUAAGAAUUAGCAACAUCAUAAUACUUAGCAAGAGUGAGGGAGGUUCUUUUUAUCUUACUGGGAAUCUCUCUUUCCCAGUAGAAUAAUACUUCUAUUUCUAGCCCUUCAAGUCCACAAGGUAUCAGACUUUAAAGUCAUUACGUUUUUACAUCCACAAAACCUGUCACUUAUUAAAGACUGUAUCUUGCUCAUCCUGGGCAUGUGUAAUGGUUUGGAUGUGGGAAUCAUGGGUAGAAGUAAGAGUGUUGCAAUGAAUCAACUUUAAAACAAAUGGAAGCUGUUUGGAACGUUAGGGAGAAAUUAGUUGUGAGGGAAGAUGCAAGAGACAACCACUUGUGAAAUAUUCAUUCAUUGCAUAGUUCUGCCAUUUUGUUAAAUUCAUCUCACCUCCAUGAGGAUACCAUUAUAAUGGACUACAAAGGUCUAACUGAGAUGAUUGUUUAAUGCAGAUGGAGCAGAAUUACACUCAGUGAAUUUGGAGAUAAUCUGAAUGGUUUCUUGAAGAAGAUGAUUGCCUAAUAAAGGUUACUGCUUGUGGCUGAAACACAAAAUAUUAUGGCCUGAACAUGGAGCUGGUCUCUGGUCUCCACUUCUAUCUAGCAGCUGUUUCUCCAGUUGGGUCUUAGAGGUGGUUUUCCUCCCCUCUUUCCCUGCCCCCCCCUCCCCCGCCUACUUCUCUCCAUGGGGCAGAGGGCUUUACAGUAGCUCUCUAUUCCCUAGCAUGCCUUACUGAAAAUUUCCCAGGAAUUUCCUGAGCUGUUUCCCCUCAUUCUGGGGUUGUCUCUCUCCUUCCUUCGAGCUCUUUGGCCUACCCAUUGCUAGGGUUCCUUUUUCUGCUCCCUCGGGUGCAAGCUGAAGCUCACAACUUCUGCUGAAGUCAAUAGGAGCUCUGUUUAAAUGCAAGGAUUACACAUGCACUGAGUGGUGCUCUGAAAAAUCAGUUCUGCGUAGGAAUCUACCCAACUCACAGAGGCAGCCAGCCAACCUCACCUCACCGCAGAUUACAAGGUCAGCCUCCCUCUUUGUGGGCUUAUUGCAGUGGGCCCCUCCCACACCUCUGAUUGGCCAAGGGGCCCACAUGGCUUUGCCCCUUGCUGCUGAUUGGUUGCAAGGACUGUCCGCCAUAUGGCCCUGCCCUUCACCACUGAUUGGCCAAAAGAGCUGUCCGAUAGGUGAGGGGGGGGGGUGUCUCUCAGCCAAUCAGCAGUGAGGGCAGGGGUGGCAGCCAUCUUGGGCUCCGCUUCAUGCUGGUAGCCCCCUUCCUCCCUUCCCCACUGGGGGGCUGUGCAGCUUCUGGGCCUCAUUGGCCAUGAAGACCGCUGGCUCCCUCUGGAAAGCCAGCAUUUUAUUUUCAGUAAGUUUUUUCUCUUUUUUUUUCAUAGAUUUCAUUAACAUUGCCUGAUUUUGCAGACAAUGCUGGAUUUCAUGAUUUCCACUAAACUGUGAUUUAAGCCACUACUUGUGUGUCAUAAAUUGGGCAUCCUAUACGUUGUAAAGGUGCAGGGCACAGAAAAACAAAUGGUCCUAUCUCCUUUCAGUCUGGUAGCUAUAGUACACACCCAGAACUAGGCUAAAAAAUAAUUAUUAAGACUGCAAAAUCAAGCACCAGAAAUUUGAAAAUGCAAACCUGAAGAUUGUCUGUACAGCAUUUAUUUACCUUCUUGCAUGUAAUUCAGCAUGCAGAAUGGAUGGGUGCUCACUUAGAAGGCAGCAAUUAUUUUGUUUUAGCUUUGUUCAAUAUGUGGCCCUAGUGCAGCAUUUAUUGUACAUUAUUCAAACCCUGCAUUGAAGGGUGCAGUCUCCAGGGGCAGUGGCAUAACAAGCCGAGUUGGUACCUGGGGAAAACCCUGUGGGAGAGUGGGGAAGCCAGGGGGGCAUGCAGUUCUGAGAGCAGGAGGCCAUGAUGGACCCAAGGGGUGCAGUGGUGUAGUCACAAGCCACUUUGACUCCCUCCAAAGUUUAAAACCAACUGCCUGCAAUGACAGCAGAAGCAUUUCUAUUUGGGCAGCAGUGAGGGAAUCAACUGACUUCAUAGUUUAUUAUAAUCUACCAGAUUCCUUCUAAACUCUUCUUUCCACAGGUGUUAAUGACUUGUCUCUCAUUUUUAAAGAUCUUGAUGUUCAGUUAAUAAAGCUAUCCUUUCUUCUGCAAUUCUGUAAGCUCUUUUUAAUGCUAGUUAAAUGCAUUAAAUCAGAUGUGGAAAUAACUUUGGGUGAAGCAUCAGAUGCACUGUCAAGAUACUCAAGAAGACUAGGUUUUGUUUUAUGAAUCUGAAAAAGAGAUGUCCAUUUAAUCCUAAUGAUGGCAGGACUAAUCAAACAACUUUUAAUUAUUUUUUGCCCAAUGUGUUGUAGUUCUUUAUAUACAUAAUAUGUAAUAUAGCAAAUGAAUGCACAGUCUAAUAAGUUUGUAUUUUGUCUUUGCUCCAACUUAAACUGAAUAAUACAGCCCUAGUCCCUUA
This is a long non-coding RNA of Alligator mississippiensis (American alligator), 12144 nucleotides long. RefSeq lists it as uncharacterized. The transcript has 2 exons. NCBI's taxonomy places the organism in Eukaryota, Metazoa, Chordata, Crocodylia, Alligatoridae. The record is from RefSeq and is a predicted model, not a curated record.